This 731-nucleotide long non-coding RNA is filed under the name Toxoplasma gondii VEG. The record is from RNAcentral. Lineage: Eukaryota; Apicomplexa; Conoidasida; Eucoccidiorida; Sarcocystidae.
GGGAACUUCGUUGUGCAGACCAGAGGCAUUCCCUUGCGAUCGAAAGCAGCUGUCCGAGUUAAUGCAUUUGUCGGUAGCGAGUAACCUUUGCUUGCCCAUGCUCCUCAGACUGACAAAGAAGCACCUCUUCAGCUGUAACUCUGUUGGAAUCCUUGCCAAAUGCAUAACCAUCCUAUUCUUCAUUUGUAACCGGCUCUACAGGCUCCCGGGGGUUAGCGUACUCAGCGUUCCCUUUCCCGAAACACUCUGAGCUGUCUUUUCGUGCUGCUUUUUUAUUUCCAUGUGAAAGGGUGGUAGCAACACGCGAGGCAUAGAAGGACGCUCGAACAAUAGUCUGCCUCUUCGUUGGUUUCGUGGGAAAGAGCGCAAGUGUGCGAGCGGCCAAUGUGAGCGAGUUAAAGGUGCUCUUUUAUCUGCACUGUCCCUCACGACGGUCAAGGCGAUCGUUCACUCUUGAUAAACCUUUUUCAUGGGUCUGGGGAUCACGAUUUCUCUAGGAGGGCAUUUGCUCGGCGUUAGCCGGCAAACAAAGCCCUCCUAAAUCUAAACCAGCAGUUUAAGUAGCAGUCUAUAUGGUGCAGAGAGGCUUAUAAGGAUGCCUGUGUCUCAGAGGUGAUUACUCGCUAUAUCUGUACACUUCACGUGGUCUCGAAAAGCACACUGGAACUUGAAUCCGGUAAACAAAGACCUUCAAGUUCUAAAUCGGAAGUCCAACUCGUACUUCUUCCCAG